AACGGGGAAAAUGGAAAAAAUGGAAAAAAUGGAAAAAAAGAGAAAGAAAGAGAAAAAAAAGACGCUAUGGUUUAAAGAAUCCCUCUUACAUCUACAGAGAUUUCAGACGGUCCUUCUUUCUUUUCGAGUUUCU
RNAcentral lists this non-coding RNA (133 nucleotides) under Palpitomonas bilix. The record is from RNAcentral.